CCGUGCAAAGUGGGGAGGGGUGGCUGCACGUUAGAAGUGGAGAGGGACGGCUGGGUGGAGUAGGUAGCAGACAUGGUGGUGGGUCUUCCCACUUUGAAAGUGCUCCAGCCACCAAAACACCAUCAUCUCCAUCCAGUUAUUGGGCUUGGCACUAGGAAGGGAAAGGAGUGGCUGGGAGUGCAGGGUUUUCCACUUAAUAGGGAGAACCGUGGGUUUGAAGAAGGAUUGGAAGAGUUGCUGCAAAUUUUGGAGAGAAGAAACAGAGAGCUUGCUGUACGUACGGGAGAAGGAGAAGAAGAAGCUUGCUGCAUCCAGUGGUGAGGCAGAGAACGUUUGGAAUUUCUGCAUUCAAGUUUGGCUAGGAGGUCUUCAAGAGAUGGUGAUGAGGAUACUUUGGAAGCAGCUCUUGAUGGGGACAGCAGUGCUGCCGCUUAGUUUAGCUAGUUUCUCUUCGUGGUUCCUAAUGUUUGGAAUAAACUCGUGUGUAUUCUAAGUUUAAAUUCUCUCUGUUUUUCAUGGAGACAUUCCAUUUACUCUUGUUGUAAUUUCCGCACUAUUCUGAGGAUGACUGUAAUCCUUAAAAUUACUCUUGACUGCUUUCUCAUAUUAUGUAUGAUGACGUCUUAUUUAUAUAUGCAUGAUGUAUAUUUUUGGGACGUUA
Vigna angularis (adzuki bean) is the source of this 661-nucleotide long non-coding RNA. RefSeq lists it as uncharacterized. The transcript has 2 exons. The record is from RefSeq and is a predicted model, not a curated record. NCBI's taxonomy places the organism in Eukaryota, Viridiplantae, Streptophyta, Magnoliopsida, Fabales, Fabaceae.